UAAUCCCAGCUUCCGGUAGAGGUG
This 24-nucleotide non-coding RNA is filed under the name Mus musculus (house mouse). Lineage: Eukaryota; Metazoa; Chordata; Mammalia; Rodentia; Muridae. The record is from RNAcentral.